RNAcentral lists this ribosomal RNA (207 nucleotides) under uncultured bacterium. RNAcentral's name for it is "partial 16S ribosomal RNA". It matches the Rfam family "Bacterial small subunit ribosomal RNA", at positions 568 to 774 of the family's 1533-position model. The record is from RNAcentral.
CACGUAGGUGGCACUGUAAGUCAGAGGUGAAAGCCCUCGGCUCAACCGAGGAAUUGCCUCUGAAACUGCUUUGCUUGAGUCCGGGAGGGGGGAGCGGAAUUCCCAGUGUAGCGGUGAAAUGCGUAGAUACUGGGAGGAACACCGGUGGCGAAGGCGGCUCCCUGGACCGGUACUGACACUGAGGUGCGAAAGCGUGGGUAGCAAACA